AAAUUGAAGAGUUUGAUCAUGGCUCAGAUUGAACGCUGGCGGCAGGCCUAACACAUGCAAGUCGAGCGGAAACGAGUUAUCUGAACCUUCGGGAGACGAUAACGGCGUCGAGCGGCGGACGGGUGAGUAAUGCCUAGGAAAUUGCCCUGAUGUGGGGGAUAACCAUUGGAAACGAUGGCUAAUACCGCAUGAUGCCUACGGGCCAAAGAGGG
RNAcentral lists this ribosomal RNA (212 nucleotides) under Vibrio alginolyticus. RNAcentral's name for it is "partial 16S ribosomal RNA". It matches the Rfam family "Bacterial small subunit ribosomal RNA", at positions 1 to 210 of the family's 1533-position model. The record is from RNAcentral. Lineage: Bacteria; Pseudomonadati; Pseudomonadota; Gammaproteobacteria; Vibrionales; Vibrionaceae.